UCAUAUUUAGUUCUCCUAAUUAGCAUCCGAACAUCCGAUGUGACACUGUUAAAGUUUAACACCUCGUAUCCAAACACCCCCUUAGCAAGUUAGCAUGCUAUUUUUAAUUAAAAAAGGAAGUGUUAGCUGUUUUGAUUGUGAUGUUUAGCUGAUUUGCUGCCCGUGUGAUGCAGUGUACAGAAAGAAAGCUUACGGACUGAGCUUGCACAUUGUCUGCCUGACUUUGGGUCAACACCGCAUCCUGUCUUGCACAUUAAGAUUGUUGAAAUGGUCAUAUCAUUUAUAUUACACCGAAUACUUGCAUCAAUACCAGCCAUUUUGUUACAGUUGCAGGCAUGCGUUCACGAGGCCCUUUAUGGUGCGAUCAUGCAUAAACAAAAUCAUAUAUGGUUGUGACUUGCACUACCCUGGGAUAUCAAUAAUUGUAUUAGAAAAAUGAUUGGCUGACUGGUAAGAAAUUUCAUUAUCUGUUCAUAUGCUGAAUCAUCUGUGUCUAUUGAUCUGCACUUGUAAUUCCAUUCCCCGUCACAGCAUGCGUUAACCCAUGUUUUUUAUUUCCCUGAGUUCUACAAUAUGCCAAAUCAAAUGCUUCAGUAACUUAACUUUGUUUCUACUGGCUGCUAGGACUCAUUGCUAUAAUAUGUCAGGUUUUAUAAUAUUGAUCUGUGAGCUUCUAAUUCUUGUGGGCUUGCCGUAGUUCAAGGUUACACAUUUCAAACUUCAGGAGUACCUCCCCACAUGUAAACAUCAGUUCAAAUUGAUGAAAUGAUCUGUCUACAUCAACGGAUCCUUAAUUUCAGGCUUAUACUCUAUCUUAUGACUUGUUCGUCCUCGUUAUCCAUGUGUUGUGUACUUGUUUGCAGCUCAAGUUUCCCCUGAGGUCAAAGCCGAUGGGCGGCGACCUGACCUGACGAAGAAGCCGGAGUUUCCCACGCCGACGUUUCGUUCCCACCGCUUCGGAUGCGUGGCGCUAAAGCGAAGCACGCGUGGAGGCAACUGUAGCGCUACCAAACGGCCUCAGCCCCACAGUGCUAAAGUUGGGAAAAAGAGAACUAAACAAGACCAAGGUCUGGACUGACCAACAGAGGAGGAGAAUAUGCUUCCAGGUCAGUGAUCCAUCCAAUUCUGAAACUCCCAUCCCUUUGACGCUUUAUCCGUGUGUCGAAUCUGUCUCGAGAGUCGAUACUCAAACGCGGCUUCAUCAAGCAGCAAGGCGUCGAGAGGGCCUGCUCGAGCUCGACAUCCAAUCCCCAAGUCCUAGAACGAGCGGCAUCGCCGGGAAGCCAAAACGCCUCGUCGCAGCCAGGAAAAACCAUGGGUUUCGUCGCCGCGGAAGCAACCCGGCCGAAAUGUCAGCGUCGCAUGGGGCGCCGCACCACGGCAUGACGAGGAGGGGCGGGCGGAACGGAGGGGGACCGGCCGGGGACCCCCUCGCCGAAAGGGUCCGCGAGUCGGGGGCGAGUACCCGCCGUGCCGCCGAACGUGCAGUCGCCGCAGCCGUCACGCAACGCGAGAGCCAGCGCGAGCAGGCAGGCACGGGCACGGCGCCUUUGCCGUCGCGGCAAGCGCAUGGGCGAGCGCGGGCCGGUCGCGGCCGCUAGCUGCACGCUGCCGGCCGUCGCCACCCACGCGCGCGGCUGUCUCUCGCGUCGCGGCGCACGGGGGGAGGGAGGUCGGCUUCCUUCCCUGCUGGUGCUGCUGCCCGAUGCCAACGAGCGGGCGCUUGCCCUCACACUUCCCCUACUCCCCGACAGGGACGCCGUGCCUGCUUGGCAUCCAUCUCUGGUACUGCUACUGCGGCAUGCGUCAAGUUGUUGGAGCAUGCGCUGCGCUGUCGUGUGAGAGGUAAGUACGGAACGCCUUGAUCCGACACUUCUAGAACGUACGCGAUCCAUCUUUUUCUUGGCAUCCUGCGGGUGGAAAUUUGCGCCUGCACCUGCGGAUCACCUGUCGGGUCUCGAGCACCCGCAUCGUGUCAUUCGUGUGUUCAUACUUGAUGGCACAACAAAUACUACAUCAUCGUUAAUGCCUCUUAAUGGGUACAGCAAGAAUUUAGCACCCAGACUACGAUCUAAAGUAGCAAAUACAACUAAGCAAGAUGCCGAAACCAUAUUCCUCUCACAAUGGCAUAAAAAGAAACUAAGUCUGAAAUUUCAAAUUCAAACGACUAAAUGAACGUACUCUUUAUUUUAAGGCCUGGUAAAUACAUGCACGUGAAAACAAAUGUUUGCGCUCGACCCUCAUCCAUCUCGAGCCCUGACCCACUGGUGCGAUUUGACGCUCACACCCCUGCAGAUGAUGGGUAUCUAGACUCGACUGUCAUCUCUACGUAGAAGCAUAUAGGAAGAUAACAUUCU
This is an RNA transcript of Setaria italica (foxtail millet), 2357 nucleotides long. RefSeq lists it as uncharacterized. NCBI's taxonomy places the organism in Eukaryota, Viridiplantae, Streptophyta, Magnoliopsida, Poales, Poaceae. The record is from RefSeq and is a predicted model, not a curated record. The transcript has 2 exons.